UGAAUUAUUAAAUGGCCGCAGUACCCUGACUGUGCUAAGGUAGCGUAAUCAGUUGGCUUUUAAAUGGAGUCGAGAAUGAAUGGAUCUACGGGAACUAGCUGUCUCUUUUUGAUUAGGCUGAAUUUAUUAAAAAGGUGAAAAACCCUUUCUGUUGAAAAAAGACGAGAAGACCCUUAGAGUUUUUAUAAACGAUUUAAUAUAAGUUGUUAUAAGUUUUUUUGCUGGGGCGGCAGGGAGACAAAUUUUUAACUCUCCUUUUUUAGUUUUGGAAGACGUUGUUUUAAAGCUACAUGAAACUACCUUAGGGAUAACAGCAUAAUUAAAUUUUUAGUUUGUGACCUCGAUGUUGGACUAGGAAAAACUCUUGGCUAGCAGCCAAGAGUUUUGUUCUGUUCGAACAAUUUCUCCUAC
This 411-nucleotide ribosomal RNA is filed under the name Laspionchis boucheti. Its description in RNAcentral is "partial 16S ribosomal RNA". It matches the Rfam family "Bacterial large subunit ribosomal RNA", at positions 1913 to 2599 of the family's 2925-position model. The record is from RNAcentral. Lineage: Eukaryota; Metazoa; Mollusca; Gastropoda; Systellommatophora; Onchidiidae.